RNAcentral lists this ribosomal RNA (437 nucleotides) under uncultured bacterium. Its description in RNAcentral is "partial 16S ribosomal RNA". It matches the Rfam family "Bacterial small subunit ribosomal RNA", at positions 28 to 507 of the family's 1533-position model. The record is from RNAcentral.
GAUGAACGCUGGCGGCAUGCCUAACACAUGCAAGUUGGACGGGGAGCGGUGUCUUCAGUGGCGGCAGGGCGAGGAACGCGUAAGAAACUGCUCUUGGAAGUGGCCCAACAACUGGAACAGGUUGCUAAUACCCCGGAGGAUAACGAGCAAGAGGAGGAAUCUGCCCGUGGGGGGGCAGGCGACUGAUUAGCCACCUGGUGGGGUAAUAGCUGACCAAGGCGAUGAUCAGUAGGUGGUCCGAGCGAAUGAUCAGCCACACUGGGACGGAGACACGGCCCAGGGUACGACGGGAGACAGCAGUGGGGAGUAUGCCGCAAUGCGCGAAAGCCUGACGGGGCAAUGCCGCGUGGAGGUAGAAGGCCCAGGGGUCAUGGACUUCUGUUCUCGGAGAAGAAACAAUGACGGUAUCUGAAGAAGAAGCAUCGGCUAACUCUGUG